This 62-nucleotide transfer RNA is filed under the name Thalassaphorura encarpata. RNAcentral's name for it is "tRNA-Asp". The record is from RNAcentral. Lineage: Eukaryota; Metazoa; Arthropoda; Collembola; Poduromorpha; Onychiuridae.
AAGAUUUUAGUUAAUUAUAAUAUUAGUUUGUCAAACUAAAGUUAAAUUUUGUUUAUAUCUUU